This 497-nucleotide ribosomal RNA is filed under the name uncultured bacterium. RNAcentral's name for it is "partial 16S ribosomal RNA". It matches the Rfam family "Bacterial small subunit ribosomal RNA", at positions 28 to 507 of the family's 1533-position model. The record is from RNAcentral.
GAUGAACGCUGGCGGCGUGCCUAAUACAUGCAAGUCGAGCGAACAGACGAGGAGCUUGCUCCUCUGACGUUAGCGGCGGACGGGUGAGUAACACGUGGAUAACCUACCUAUAAGACUGGGAUAACUUCGGGAAACCGGAGCUAAUACCGGAUAAUAUAUUGAACCGCAUGGUUCAAUAGUGAAAGACGGUUUUGCUGUCACUUAUAGAUGGAUCCGCGCCGCAUUAGCUAGUUGGUAAGGUAACGGCUUACCAAGGCGACGAUGCGUAGCCGACCUGAGAGGGUGAUCGGCCACACUGGAACUGAGAAACGGUCCAGACUCCUACGGGAGGCAGCAGUAGGGAAUCUUCCGCAAUGGGCGAAAGCCUGACGGAGCAACGCCGCGGGAGUGAUGAAGGUCUUCGGAUCGUAAAACUCUGUUAUUAGGGAAGAACAAAUGUGUAAGUAACUAUGCACGUCUUGACGGUACCUAAUCAGAAAGCCACGGCUAACUACGUG